UUGAAGACCUAUGCAGAUCAUCUUGGUUUUGAUCUUCUUUCUCCUCCUUUCUGUUCUUGUGAAGCAGGCCAUCCAUUGCCGUUCGCAAGCAGAACAGAUGCACGGUACCUUUGCAUUUCUAAUUUCCCCAUGGCUGUCAAGCAGACCAAAGCAAAGCCAGUAAAUGAUGUCUCUGAAACUGAGAGGUGGUUUGGAAGCACAUAG
Molecule: unclassified non-coding RNA, 204 nt
Filed under: Zea mays
Lineage: Eukaryota; Viridiplantae; Streptophyta; Magnoliopsida; Poales; Poaceae
Description: misc RNA Zm00001eb399080
Source: RNAcentral